CCUACGGGCGGCAGCAGCUAAGGAUAUUCCGCAAUGGGGGAAACCCUGACGGAGCGACGCCGCGUGGACGAUGAAGGCCGGAAGGUUGUAAAGUCCUUUUGAUUGUGAAGAAUAAGCGAGACAGGCAAUGGUCUUGUGGUGACGGGAGCAAUUGAAUAAGCACCGGCUAAUUACGUGCCAGCAGCCGCGGUAACACGUAAGGUGCGAGCGGUGUUCGGAAUUAUUGGGCGGAAAGGGCAUGCAGGCGGCAUUGCAAGCCUGGCGUGAAAUGAAGGGGCUCAACUCCUGCGCUGCGCCGGGAACUGUGAAGCGUGAGUUUCUGAGGGGCAGCCGGAAUUCCACAUGUAGGGGUGAAAUCUGUAGAUAUGUGGAGGAACACCAAGGGCGAAGGCAGGCUGCCAGCGGAUGACUGACGCUGAGGUGCGAAGGUGCGGGGAGCGAACAGGAUUAGAUACCCGGGUAGUC
This 465-nucleotide ribosomal RNA is filed under the name uncultured Treponema sp. Its description in RNAcentral is "bacterial SSU rRNA". It matches the Rfam family "Bacterial small subunit ribosomal RNA", at positions 338 to 795 of the family's 1533-position model. Lineage: Bacteria; Pseudomonadati; Spirochaetota; Spirochaetia; Treponematales; Treponemataceae. The record is from RNAcentral.